This is a long non-coding RNA of Dermacentor silvarum, 359 nucleotides long. RefSeq lists it as uncharacterized. The transcript is spliced from 4 exons. The record is from RefSeq and is a predicted model, not a curated record. NCBI's taxonomy places the organism in Eukaryota, Metazoa, Arthropoda, Arachnida, Ixodida, Ixodidae.
GUGGAAUUCCAAACGGACCUGGUUCAUCACUACAAAAUAGAUAUCCGAGCGCUUGUCGAAGAAAUAACAGGGCGCUGGAGUAUCGUUAAGGAAUUCUGGGACCUAUUCAACAAAACGGAUCUGCUGGCUUUGUUGCAGGAUGACGAGAAGCUUUAUGAGUAUACUGCGGGACAAAGAAGUAAUUUCGAAAACCUCAUAAAGCAGACAUUCCUUGACUUCACAAUAGAAAAUUGUGACGACCUCAAAAAUAAUAUCUCGUCUUACAUCGACGAGUUCGACAACAUUGGUGUCUGCAGCAAUAUUGUGGACAUCUUUACGGACGGAUUUAAUAUUAUCUGCAACGGAAUGAUUGACUUUGU